AUAUUUGUAUUUAUAAAUAUAUUUCUAUUAAGAUUUCUUUGUAUAUAGAUACACAUAAAAGCAAUACUUUAAAGAAUACUGUACUCACCUGUCUUAAAUGUAAUAAAGCAUCUUGGGAUAGGGGUGAGGCUUUGUGAAUUUAGUCUACAGAUUAUCCUAAAGUCCAGUAAUUAGCAAAACAAGAAUUGUUGAAAAUACUUUCCUGAUACAGCUGAAUGUUUAAAUGUAUACAGCUGAAUGUUUAAAUUUAUACAGCUGAAUGUUUAAAUGUAUACAGCUGAAUGUCUAAAUGUGCAUUAUUGAUAUGCUAUAAAUAUUACAUAAGAGUACAUAUGAUUUUAGUUAGGUUGCUCCCCUUGUUUCUUCACAUGGCUUUUGAUUCAUCAAGUGUAAAGUUAUGGUAACUCAUGAUGCCGACCCAGUUUUAUUUCUUUGUGUCUGACAGGGGCUGUAAAUCAUAGAAUCUCAGGAGACUCUGUUGUCUUUUCUUCACACAUGGACUGUGAGGACCCCAGUGUGUGUAUCAGCGUGAGUGCACGUGCGUGUAGUAAAUCCCAAGUCGUCUCAUAGCUGGUGAUUCCCUUUCACUCACUGAACGUGAAUAAUUGAGCAUUCGGUUGGUGGCAUCAUGGUGAUGAGGACCACAAAUGGUGGGCAGCACAACGUCUUCGGUCCUACACACCAACGCUGUGAGUCCCAGCAAGGCAGAAACGACUUUGAAUAGCUCUGAUUUCCAUCGCAGGGCUGGCCACUGUGCAAUUUUAAUGAGCAUCAAGGCUGUUUCGGGACUAGUCUGCACUAAAUCCCCAAGAGGACUUUGGCUGAGGUACCUGAAGUCACCAUGCCAGGCUGGUUCAGGAUGAAGUAACAGCAGAGAUACAAGCCAGCGUCCUCCCUACUACCUAUAAGAGGUAUUUAUUCAUCGUAAGAGAAUGAAGUAGUAUCUACCGUAAUGUGUGCGCUCUGUGGUAGCAGCAGCUGGUUGGAGGAUCAGCCAGCCCCCCCACUAC
This 1010-nucleotide long non-coding RNA is filed under the name Betta splendens (Siamese fighting fish). Its description in RNAcentral is "lncRNA (ENSBSLG00000023953.1)". Lineage: Eukaryota; Metazoa; Chordata; Actinopteri; Anabantiformes; Osphronemidae. The record is from RNAcentral.